This 287-nucleotide ribosomal RNA is filed under the name uncultured bacterium. Its description in RNAcentral is "partial 16S ribosomal RNA". It matches the Rfam family "Bacterial small subunit ribosomal RNA", at positions 492 to 776 of the family's 1533-position model. The record is from RNAcentral.
GCCAGCCCGCUCAGGUGUGCCAGCCGCCGCGGUAAUACAGAGGUCCCAAGCGUUGUUCGGAUUCACUGGGCGUAAAGGGUGUGUAGGUGGUGGGUAAGUUUGAGGUGAAAGCUCCGGGCUCAACCCGGAAAUGGCCUUGAAAACUAUCCCGCUCGAGGGUUGGAGGGGGGACUGGAAUUCUCGGUGUAGCAGUGAAAUGCGUAGAUAUCGAGAGGAACACCAGUGGCGAAGGCGAGUCCCUGGACAACAUCUGACACUGAGGCACGAAAGCUAGGGGAGCAAACGGG